Molecule: RNA transcript, 5262 nt
Organism: Heterocephalus glaber (naked mole-rat)
Lineage: Eukaryota; Metazoa; Chordata; Mammalia; Rodentia; Bathyergidae
Gene: Slc38a8
Gene name: solute carrier family 38 member 8
Source: RefSeq, a predicted model, not a curated record
GCCUGGGGGGGCCGGGGCUUCAACCCCAGGUCCUGGGUGGAAUCAGCUGAGCUGGGUGGGCCCUGAUCACUUCCAGCUGAGCUCCCUCCAGCCCUCCAGGGCUGCUGAGGAAGCCCCACCCCAGGGAGGGCCUGGGAGAAGUCUCAAGUUUUAAAACACCCUGAACAGGUCCGCAGGCUCAGAAGCCACAAGCUCUUCGGACCAGUGGUCCUGACUGCUUACCCCUGCCCCAUACGGGUCCUCCAGGGCUCCUGAGUGAAUGACCCAGCCAUCACUGGCAGAGUUAAGGUUCUUCCUUGGUCCGUCCGACACCCUGACCCAAGCCUGUCCUGGGAGGCCAGACUGUCCUGCCCCUUACAGCGGGAUUUGGUGUCCUCUGCGCCCCGGCCAUGGAGGAACAGCCCCGAGGAAGCGGAGGCCUUCCAGAAAAGCCGCUCCCCGCCCCUGCUGUCCCCACUUUGUCCUCGUUGGGUGCUGUCUUCAUUCUGCUGAAAUCGGCACUGGGGGCCGGCCUGCUCAACUUCCCCUGGGCCUUCCACAAGGCAGGGGGCGUGGUGCCUGCUUUCCUGGUGGAGCUGGUCUCCUUAGUGUUCCUGAUCAGCGGGCUGAUCACCCUGGGCUACGCAGCCUCCGUCAGCGGCCAGGACACCUACCAGGGCGUGGUCCGAGGGCUGUGUGGCGCCGCCAUGGGGAAGCUGUGUGAGGCCUGCUUCCUCCUCAACCUGCUCAUGAUCUCCGUGGCCUUCCUCAGGGUGAUUGGGGACCAGCUGGAGAAGUUGUGCGAAGCCCUCCUGCCUGGCAUCCCACAGCCCUGGUUCACUGCCCAGCGCUUCACGCUGCCCCUACUCUCCACACUGGUCAUCCUGCCCCUGUCCGUGCCUCGGGAGAUCGCCUUCCAGAAAUACACCAGCAUCCUAGGCACCUUGGCUGCCUGCUACCUGGCCCUGGUCGUGACGGCACAGUACUACCUCUGGCCCCAGGACUUCAAGCACGAGCCCCACCCCUCACAGAGCCCCUCCUCCUGGACCUCGCUGUUCAGUGUCUUCCCCACCAUCUGCUUCGGAUUCCAGUGUCACGAAGCUGCUGUGUCCAUCUACUGUAGCCUGCGCCCGCGGAGCCUGUCCCACUGGGCCCUGGUCUCUGUGCUGUCCUUGCUGGCCUGCUGCCUCGUCUACUCACUGACAGGGGUUUAUGGCUUCCUGACCUUCGGGACGGAAGUUUCCGCUGACAUCUUGAUGUCCUACCCGGGCAACAACACAGCCAUCAUCACUGCCCGGGUCUUCUUUGCCGUCUCCAUCGUGACCAUCUACCCCAUCGUGCUCUUCCUGGGGAGGUCCGUAAUACAGGACUUCUGGAGGUGGAGCUGCUGUGGGGCGCAGGGGCCACUGGUGCUGGCCGACCCCUCGGGGCCGUGGGUUCGGGUGCCACUGACUGCCCUGUGGGUGGCUGUGUCGCUCGCUAUGGUCCUGUUCCUGCCCGACCUCAGCAGCAUCAUCGGUAUUAUCGGCGGUGUGAGCGCCUUCUUCAUCUUCAUCUUCCCAGGUUUGUGCCUCAUCUAUGCUGUGGAUGUCGAGCCCAUAAGACCAAGAGUCAAGUGCUUCCUGGAGGCCUGGGGUGUGGUCUCGGCGCUGCUGGGCACCUUCAUCUUCGGGCAGAGCACGGUGGCCACCAUCCUGGAGCUGCUCUGAGGGCCCCCGCCGGCGUCUGGCUUAAGAGGAGACUGGUGUGGCUGCUGUUAGCGUGAAGAUGCCAGGGCACGGCACCACCGCUCCCCGGCUCACCGGGCUCUGCCUCCCUCGGGGUUCUGGGUGCACCAACUCGAAGUGGCUGCUGCCCAUAAUUGGAAUGUGGCAGGGCUGUGUGCUCCCUCUGGAGGCCCCUUCUUGCCCCUUCUUCCUUCUCUUUCCUGCCGGGAUCCUGGGGUCACCUGACUCAUUGGUUUCCCUCCAGUCUCUGGUUUCAUCUUCACGUGGCUGCCUCCCUGGAUGUCUGUGUUCAGAUUUCCCUCUUGCUGUGACAGUGCUGGACAUUCAGUUAGGCCGCAGCCUAAUUUAGUGUGUUGGCAUCUGGACUUGAUUGUAUCUCAUCUUAAUUAAGAUGUGCAAGAGUCCAGUUUCCAAGUAGGGCCAUGUUCUCUGGGUCCAGGGCUUAGGGCUUCAACUUCUCUUCCUGUGGGUACAGCUCAGCCCUUAAUAGGGUGGGGGUGAGGCCCAGAGAACCAGGCUUUGGAGUAUUGGGAUCAAAGCUACCAGCUGAGCACCUUGGGUGGGGGCACAAAAGGGAAUCUAGGGUGUGUCCCUUGCAGUGGCAGUGGUCUCAAGCUAUGGUCACAAUCCCGUCUAGACCAACAGAGCCCAGUGUGAUGGUUUAGAUCUAAAAUGUACCCCCAAAGUCUUGGGGCCCCAUGCUUGCCAGUAGAUUCAUCCACUGGUGAGAUCAUGGCUGAACGUGGUGGUAGGAGGUGGGGCCUGGUUGGAGGUCACCGGGGAUGUGACCUGGAAGGGUGGAUUCUUGUCCCCAGCUCCUCCCUUCUCUCCCUGCUUCCUGGCUGCCAUGGGUCGAGCCUCUCCCCUCUGCCGGGCUGUUUCUGUCUUGGAGCCAGCCAGCCAUGAACUAAACCCUCUAAAACCGUGAGUCCAAAUAAACCUGUCCUCCUCUAAGCUGUAUCAGGUAUUGUGUCCUAGUGACAGAAAAAUGACUGAUAGAGACAGGAGACGACUGCCCAGGACAGGCCUGUGCCCUUUCUUCCACUCACUGCACCGAAAGCCUAGAACCCGAGUGGAUCAUGGGCCCUGUAGCUCUCGCCUGACCCCUCCCUGACACUGUGCAGUUGUCACACCUGCCACAGUGUGAGAGGGCACAGAGGGUCAUCCCCAGGGCCUCGGAAAGCGGAGUAGUGGGAGUGGGAAAGGUCCCGUGUCCUGCCUUUAACCCCGCCUGGGGCCGUGUCCUGGAUGUUGGUAGACUUGGGCCGCCUUUUCUACCUCGGAUUCACCCUCUUAGAAGCCAGCAAGGUGACAGCCAGGGAGAGUAGAGCUGACGUUCCCGACACUUUCUAUCAUGCAUCGCCUUCCUGUUUAUGUCCUGUGCUGUGUCUGGGACCAUGUGAGGUUAGGAGUGAUAGGCUCAGACUUUUCUUUCCAGCCCAUCCACAUGCAUGCAUUUGAAAAAUGGCGAUGUAAUUUGCAUGCCCUAAAAUCUGCCCCUUUACAGUGCACUGCUCAGUGGUUUCCAGUAUGGUCACAGGGUUGUGUAGCCACUCCCACUGUCUGUUCCCAGCAUGCUUUCAUCACCCCUAGAAGAGCCCUUAGUAUCAGUCACUGCCCAAGUCCCCUGUCCUCAGCCCCAGGCAGCAAGAGUCUGCUUUCAGCCUCUGAGGUUUACCUGCCUCAGCUGCCUCCUGUAGAUAAACUCAGGUGGCACAAGGUCCUGUGUGUGGCUCCCUGUAUGUCACGUGAUGCUUUCAGAUGUAUGCAUUUUGCAGGUGAAAGCCACUGAGGCCUGGCAAAGCCGAGCCUGCCUGUCCUGCAAGGCACAGAGCUGAGAUCAGAGUUGGUUUGGGGCUGAAUUUCGUUGUCCACACUCCAUGCCGAGGAGGCACUGUGGGCUGGACCAGUGUGCCUGGCCCGGGGGAGGAGAGGCGUCCUCUGCCAGCCUCCAUCCUGGCCACAGCGGCAGGGGCAUGCACUGUGCAGUGGCCAGCAUCCUGCCAGCUGUGUCUUUGGUGAAGGCCCUGCUCUCCGUGCACGGUGCCUGUGCCUAGGUCGCCAGCACAUGCUGUUCCUGGUCUCAGCGUCCUGCCUCUGGCCAUAGCUUCCAUCCUCUGUGUCCUCAUCUGGGACUAAGCUGAGGACAGCCCCUCCCUCCAAGGCCAGCCCUGAGGAUGAGCAGAGGGCCACCUGCAGUGCCCUUGGCAGGGAGCCUCGCCUGCCAUGAGCUCCAGGUCAGUGCGGACAAUUCUGCCUGGGUGGAGAGACCCCUGUCUGUCUCUGCUCACUACUCCCAGAAUGGCCAGGUGACAUCUUACACGGGAAGGACCUGAGCUACCUUGGGCAUCGUGGGCUGGUGGGCACCACUGCUCCAGGGGCGCCUGUCCACAGGCUCGGUGGCCCAGCCUGGUACUGCUGGCCCUGCAACCCCGAGUCAUCACCAUGUGCCUCCCGCAGGCAUCCUGGGCUUGGUAUGGGGCCCCGAGAGGAUGUAGAUGGGGCAGCUGCACACAGGUGGAGCUUGCUGUGGGUGAGUUGAUGGGAUUUUGAAAACUGCAGUGAAAUUUGUGACAGCAGAUUGGCCACUCUAGGUGUGCGAUCUGGGGUAUCUGGUAUAUAAGGUGCUACAGCCCUGUCCCCUCUGGCUCAAAACCUGUCCAUCAGCCCAGUAGCCCGGGGUGCCCCAUCAACUGCCUAUCUGUGGAGCUACCCGGCAGGGACAUUUCCUGAAAGUGCAGUCAUAUGUCACGGACACCUUGUUCAGCAGGCCCACCCAGUGUGCCGAGUUGCCACGCGCCAGGCCUUUUUAGGGUUGAAUGUAGUCACCCCGGUGAGCCCACAGGGCGUGGGUUCCAGGGCCCACCGACCUCGAGUCUUCAUGUACAGCGGUGUGGUGUCUGCCUGUAGCCUGCAUCUCCGUAAAAUGACCUGCAGCACCUGAUGCAGUGCAUGGUCACGAGGCUGCAGUGCGCAGGGAGUGAUGGCUUGGAAAGUGCCCUGCACCGGGUCAGCACAGAUGGACACUGCGGGCCUCGAUGGACCUGACUGCAAAGUUCAGGCACUGCAAGGAGGUGGCAGGAGGUGGGGGUGCUGAUCAAGGGAGCGGGGGCUUCCAGGUAAGCUGAGGGGCAGGAGCGAGGCAGGGCCGACUGCAGCAGUGCGGCCCGACUGAUGAGCUCCCCGGGCUCCCCAGGCUCCCCAGGCUCCCCAGGACCUGCCCGCGACUUCCCUCCCCCCAGUCCUCCCAUCCUGUUACCCUCACGGGGAGGGACUUGCUGCUCUCGCCGCCUCUUUGUGCCCUGAGACUUCUGUGGCAGUCUGUCCUGCUAACAGGACAGAAAGAUGGGAGAGGAAGCCACAGAGCUUCCGGAACAGCACUUGGGAUGGGAUGGAAGUGCAGUCGUGGCCCCUGUGUUGUGGGAAUAGAAUUCCGGCUGCGUGGCAGAGGAUGACACCGGCCAGUCUCAGGGACCCCUGGACUCAGAGCUGUCACCACCCCCGUCACGAGGAGGACACCAAGGCCUGGGAGGCCCAGUUCGACUUCCACGGUAAA